GAUGAACGCUGGCGGCGUGCCUAAUACAUGCAAGUAGAACGCUGAAGGAAGGAGCUUGCUCUUUCCGGAUGAGUUGCGAACGGGUGAGUAACGCGUAGGUAACCUGCCUGGUAGCGGGGGAUAACUAUUGGAAACGAUAGCUAAUACCGCAUAACAGUAGAUGUUGCAUGAUAUCUACUUAAAAGGUGCAAUUGCACCACUACCAGAUGGACCUGCGUUGUAUUAGCUAGUUGGUGAGGUAACGGCUCACCAAGGCGACGAUACAUAGCCGACCUGAGAGGGUGAUCGGCCACACUGGGACUGAGACACGGCCCAGACUCCUACGGGAGGCAGCAGUAGGGAAUCGUCGGCAAUGGACGGAAGUCUGACCGAGCAACGCCGCGUGAGUGAAGAAGGUUGUCGGAUCGGAAAGCUCUGUUGUAAGAGAAGAACGAGUGUGAGAGUGGAAAGUUCACACUGUGACGGUAUCUUACCAGAAAGGGACGGCUAACUACGUG
This 497-nucleotide ribosomal RNA is filed under the name uncultured bacterium. RNAcentral describes it as "partial 16S ribosomal RNA". It matches the Rfam family "Bacterial small subunit ribosomal RNA", at positions 28 to 507 of the family's 1533-position model. The record is from RNAcentral.